RNAcentral lists this ribosomal RNA (464 nucleotides) under Vreelandella stevensii. RNAcentral describes it as "partial 16S ribosomal RNA". It matches the Rfam family "Bacterial small subunit ribosomal RNA", at positions 338 to 794 of the family's 1533-position model. Lineage: Bacteria; Pseudomonadati; Pseudomonadota; Gammaproteobacteria; Oceanospirillales; Halomonadaceae. The record is from RNAcentral.
CCUACGGGAGGCAGCAGUGGGGAAUAUUGGACAAUGGGCGAAAGCCUGAUCCAGCCAUGCCGCGUGUGUGAAGAAGGCCUUCGGGUUGUAAAGCACUUUCAGUGGGGAAGAAAGCCUUGGGGCUAAUACCCUCGAGGAAGGACAUCACCCACAGAAGAAGCACCGGCUAACUCCGUGCCAGCAGCCGCGGUAAUACGGAGGGUGCGAGCGUUAAUCGGAAUUACUGGGCGUAAAGCGCGCGUAGGCGGUCUGAUAAGCCGGUUGUGAAAGCCCCGGGCUCAACCUGGGAACGGCAUCCGGAACUGUCAGGCUAGGGUGCAGGAGAGGAAGGUAGAAUUCCCGGUGUAGCGGUGAAAUGCGUAGAGAUCGGGAGGAAUACCAGUGGCGAAGGCGGCCUUCUGGACUGACACUGACGCUGAGGUGCGAAAGCGUGGGUAGCAAACAGGAUUAGAUACCCCUGUAGU